Long non-coding RNA from Felis catus (domestic cat), 2519 nucleotides. RefSeq lists it as uncharacterized. The record is from RefSeq and is a predicted model, not a curated record. NCBI's taxonomy places the organism in Eukaryota, Metazoa, Chordata, Mammalia, Carnivora, Felidae. The transcript has 3 exons.
CCACCCAGGAGCCCCAAGACUCGUGGAACUCUAGAACCCGGUUAUUAUCACUUCCAGCUGCCCCUUCAACCCCCCGUCCAUGCUUCAGAUGAAGGAAGCAGGCUCAGGAAACUCGGAACGCGGCCUUACUGGAGGUCACCCAUCACCGUAUGGCAGGGCUACAGACUGAACGCGGGACUUCUCACUCCUAGUCUAAUUAAUGCUCCUUCCUUUAGAUUAUUUAAUCUAAAGACCCUGCGACAGACGACUGAGACCCCAAAUAGAAAAUCUGGAGACAAGGCCGGAUAAAUAACACGGUGAAGGAAAGCCAGGAGGUUGUCUGGUAACCGGGAAAGCCUGAGGCCGACGUGGGAAAGAGCAACACUGUUUUCUCACAACACGGCCCUUUAUGCCGCUGUCAGAGGCAGGAGAUUGGCCGGGAUGAUGUGCAGCCCCCAACCGAUGUGCGUUUCUUACUCCCAGCACCUACUCCCUGGGCUCCAGCGAUCCGGCCUGUCCACGGGAGCACAGCGUCGGCCGCUUCACCGUGCUACAUUCCCUUCAAGGUUGGAUGUUCAAGCCAACGGCAGCCAUUCUAGGAAUGCUGAGGUCAAUGGAAUUCUACCAACACUUGCGGGGUGGGGAGGGGAGACAGCUGCCAGUGGCAGUGGCACGGAGGAUGGGAGGGCUGUCCAUCCCAGAAGAUUCUGCUGGGAGUCUGGGAGUCAGAACGCUUAGCACCCAGGGAGACGGCGACUGGGAAAUAUCUUAAGUAUUCCAGUCCUCCCCUCUUGGCACUGCAGAGGCAAGAGGGUAUAAAGCAGAGGAACCUGUCGGACGGGACCGUCAAGGCCGCCCGCCCGCUGGCUGGCUUGUCGUUGGAGGCCUCCACCUGCUAGAAGAGGCCUGAGCUUGGGCUGGAGAGACCUGCGUGAACAGGAUGCCAGUGGCCAAGAUCUCCAAGAGGUGCUGGGAAACGCUCCCUGAGAACGCACGCAGCUUGAGCCUCGCGUGCUGGGCUGGGGCGGCGGACACAAAUGCCUCAACGACAUCAUCACAAAUGCCUCAACGACAUCAUCACAAAUGCCUCAAGGACAUCAUCACGGGUAGGAAAGGGAGCUGCUCAGACAGACACGCGCGGCUGCAGAGGCGCGCGGCUGAGGGGUCAAAUUCCAGAAGUUUGGCCCCGGAGGGAAACCGAGCUCAGUUUCCUUCACGCUGGUCCCCUUUCCUCCGGCUCCCUUUCUUUUAAUGGGAAAGAUGGUUGCAGUGGGCAGGAAGAAGGGCCAGGAGGAUCGUGGUAGGGAGAGAUGUGAGCCUGGAGUCGGAAGAACAGAGAUCAGUGCAGAUGCCUCCACCUGGAACAGAAGAGAGACUCCAGAAACAGACUCACACAUAAAUGGUCAACUGAUUUACAACAAAGGUGGUAAGACAAUUCAAUGGGGGAGAGGAAGAUCUUUUCAACAAAUUCUGCCAGUUCGGCCCAUUGCUCCUAGUUCUGGCCUCCAGAGGAACGCCAAAUAACACUUCCCUGUUCAACACGGUGGACGACCCGUGAGAUACCUGAAGAUAGCCUGAGGGCCUUCUUUAUCCAGGCCUUGGCUCAUUCCUCAGAUAACACGGUGGCCCUGGCUAUUCCUCGCUGAUCGUGACCCAUGUUGCUCAGUGUCCCUCUCAAAAUGGGCCGCCUAAGACAAUAUAAUCCUACCGAUGGAAGGUGGACCACCAUCUCCUUUCUGCCGCUGCUCUAUUACAACAGUUCAGCCUAACGUGCCAUUGACAAUUUUUACCUCCAAAGCUGAUAAUAUAUUAACCUACAGCGAAUUCGAACAUUUGGGUGGGUUUUGCUUUUUUUUUUUCCCAAAAUAAAUUUUGAUGAUCCCAGGGGGCACCUGAAGAAUGGAGUGGGAAAACUGUGUCCUCACCAGUUUUGCCUCUUUAUUAAAUGUCGAUGGCUCCUGCUAGCAAAUGCAGGCUCCUGCCUCAGCCACUCCUCCCUUCGGGCCUCCUAUCGGUUACUUACCAAACUCUAGACCCUAGGAAAGUAACUGCCUUUUCAACAAUCUGCCAAGACCCACAAUCGAACACAUGGGCCUCCUCCACGCACCGUCAGUGCUAUCCCUGAUAGCUACUGGGCGCUUGCAGCAAGUGAUUAGAAGCAGACAUUGUUGGCAAUGGCCACGAAACACACACAUCCAGGAAAUGCAUUUAUGCAAAAUACCUGCCAGAUCAGACACGGAGCCUCAAAUAAAAGCCUUACCAAAAAAUGUGGAGGGGAAUGGACCAAAAAGCCCGUCUCCCAGCUUGCUUUCUCUGGGUAGCUCAAAAGCUAAGCUAUGGGGGGGAGAAGAUUCUUUGGGAGCAUUGCAGCUGUUUCUUGGAUUUUCAAAAGUAAAGUACCAACAUAUUCAACGGGCGAAAAGAAGCACUGCUUUUCCAGGCAAUUUUCUUCGAAACUUUGAGUCAUUUAAGAGGAAAAGACAAUUGAAUGUGUUUUGGCACUUUUGUUCUUUACGGUCAACUUCAGGCUGACGGUCAUU